AUACGUAGGUGGCAAGCGUUGUCCGGAAUUAUUGGGCGUAAAGCGCGCGCAGGCGGGAUAGUAAGUCUGUUGUGAAAUUGCGGGGCUCAACCCCGUAUUGGCAAUGGAAACUGCUAAUCUUGAGUGCAGGAGAGGAAAGCGGAAUUCCCAGUGUAGCGGUGAAAUGCGUAGAUAUUGGGAGGAACACCAGUGGCGAAGGCGGCUUUCUGGACUGUGUCUGACGCUGAGGCGCGAAAGCCAGGGGAGCGAACGGGAUUAGAUACCCCGGUAGUCCUGGCCGUAAACGAUGGGUACUAGGUGUAGGAGGUAUCGACCCCUUCUGUGCCGGAGUUAACGCAAUAAGUACCCCGCCUGGGGAGUACGGCCGCAAGGUUGAA
RNAcentral lists this ribosomal RNA (377 nucleotides) under uncultured bacterium. RNAcentral's name for it is "bacterial SSU rRNA". It matches the Rfam family "Bacterial small subunit ribosomal RNA", at positions 523 to 898 of the family's 1533-position model. The record is from RNAcentral.